RNAcentral lists this ribosomal RNA (429 nucleotides) under uncultured Gammaproteobacteria bacterium. Its description in RNAcentral is "bacterial SSU rRNA". The stretch from base 27 to 320 matches the Rfam family "Bacterial small subunit ribosomal RNA", at positions 60 to 350 of the family's 1533-position model. The record is from RNAcentral. Lineage: Bacteria; Pseudomonadati; Pseudomonadota; Gammaproteobacteria.
AUGACGCUGGCGGCAGGCUACACUGCAGUCUGAACGGUACAGGAUAGCUUGCUAUAGCUGACGAGUGGCGGACGGGUGAGUAAUACUUAGGGAUCUGCCUCUGUGUGGGGGAUAACUAUUGGAACACGAUAGCUAAUACCGCAUAAUGUCUACGGACCAAAGCGGGCUUCGCGCUCGAUGCGCACGACGAGGAACCUAAGCGAGAUUAGCUAGUUGGUCGAGGUAAAGGCUCACCAAGGCGACGAUCUCUAGCUGCUCUGAGAGGAAGAUCAGCCACACUGGAACUGACGACACAGGUCCAAGACUCCUACGGCGAGGCACGCACGACUGGGGAACUAUUAGCACACACUGAGUGCGUGAAACCCCUAGAUGCAGCCAAUGCCAGCAUGUGUGUGAAAGAAAGGCCUUCUGCGCGUUCGUACAACGCAC